Molecule: long non-coding RNA, 245 nt
Organism: Vitis riparia (riverbank grape)
Lineage: Eukaryota; Viridiplantae; Streptophyta; Magnoliopsida; Vitales; Vitaceae
Exons: 2
Source: RefSeq, a predicted model, not a curated record
UCACCAUUGACUGGGCUUCAAGCAAGAGAUAACUAUGGAUGAGGCUUCAUCCUGGAGGAUAUGUAUCUAAGAAAUACAUCAAGAAGAAGACAAUGAUGCAGAAACAAAGAUCACCUCUUAUGAAGAUAGUGUUGUACUUUUCAAUUUAAGUUUGUAUAUUAUUUAAUUGAAUGUUUUUAGCUAGGUUUUAUUUGUAUAUAGAAAAUAGAGAGUAACUUGAAAAACAUUUAUGGAAUUGUGUUCUU